CGCAUCUGUGCAUGCAGCAUAUCAAUAAGCGGAGGAAAAGAAACUAACAAGGAUUCCCCUAGUAACGGCGAGUGAAGCGGGAAGAGCUCAAAUUUGAAAUCUUAAAGGGUUUCCCUUUACGAAUUGUAGUUUAAAGAAGUGUUUUCUGUUGAGGUUUUGGUAAAAGUUCUUUGGAAUAGGACAUCAUAGAGGGUGAGAAUCCCGUAUUUGACCUUUACUUUCAACUUUGUGAUACACUUUCAAAGAGUCGGAUUGUUUGGGAAUGCAGUCCAAAAUGGGUGGUAAAUUUCAUCUAAAGCUAAAUAUUGGCGAGAGACCGAUAGCGAACAAGUACCGUGAGGGAAAGAUGAAAAGAACUUUGAAAAGAGAGUUAAACAGUACGUGAAAUUGUCAAAAGGGAAGCGUUUGACACCAGUGUUGUUUUUCUGAAAAUCAAUUAAAGAACUGUUUAUGCUAAGCUGUUUAGGACUUUAUCAGCUAUCUGUUUAGUUUUGAGCUUUUCUUUAAUGCACUUUUCAGUUAACAAGUCAACAUCAAUUUCUUUUGCUGUAAAAAAGCUUGAGGAAGGUGGCUUGAGAUUCGUCUUAAGUGUUUAUAGCCUCUUGCCUAUGCAGUCGGAGAGAUUGAGGUCUGCAGCGUAGAUCCUUCGGGGCUAAAUGCAUUUGUGCUAAGUUAUAGCAUUUUAUAGACAACUUGUUGACUAUGAUUUGUCUUGUAGCUUACUCGCUUAUGUUAUUUUACCUACGCUUAGGAUGUUGAGUCAUCACACAUCUCU
Molecule: ribosomal RNA, 775 nt
Filed under: uncultured Neocallimastigales
Lineage: Eukaryota; Fungi; Neocallimastigomycota; Neocallimastigomycetes; Neocallimastigales
Description: partial large subunit ribosomal RNA
Rfam family: Eukaryotic large subunit ribosomal RNA
Source: RNAcentral